Molecule: long non-coding RNA, 1115 nt
Filed under: Homo sapiens (human)
Lineage: Eukaryota; Metazoa; Chordata; Mammalia; Primates; Hominidae
Description: long independently transcribed non-coding RNA 1901 (LINC01901)
Source: RNAcentral
ACCUAAUCAAGCCUGGGCAAUGGCGGGCGCCCCUCCCCCAGCCUUGCUGCCGCCUUGCAGUUUGAUCUCAGACUGCUGUGCUAGCAAUCAGCGAGACUCCGUGGGUGUAGGACCCUCUGAGCCAGGUGUGGGAUAUAAUCUCGUGGUGCGCCGUUUUUUAAGCCCGUCGGAAAAGCGCAGUAUUCAGGUAUCACCAGCUGUUUAUUUCUUCAGACAUAGUUAAAAUCUAAAAGAAAAAAGAAAAAAAAGUCCAACAUUCAGAAUCCCCAAGAUGCAUACGUAAAUCCUAAUAGAAAAUGCUCAGUUCAAGAAGUUCCAUUGAGGUGAAGCAAUGAUGCAAGGCUUUUGGCAACCGUUCCCCAGCUCCCAGCCACACAUCGCUCCACUUACCUUGAGUGACAGCCUCCAAAGAAAAGUUUCCACCGCGCCAGAGUCUUGACCCUGAGUGGCAUCGGCAGGGUCUCCUGCGGCAGACCAGGGGUGUUGCGGGCUGCGCUGGGUGGGGGACCGCGCGCUGCACGUGCAGUGCCGCCCGGACGGCGGCGAAAGGACAGCGGUGCACCCCGCCCGAGGCCCCAGCGAUCCAUCAGGGCGGCUGUACGCGGGAAGACGCUUCAUCUCAUCCCUAGAUGGCAGCAGGAUUCUGAAGCUGGCGCAGCCCUGGGCAGCCCUUUCUGGUCUAUUUUCCUGAACAGAUUGCCAGGGGAUACGGCGGCUAAACAGCCAGGCGCCUCCCCGGAGCGCAGCUCAGACAGAAGAGCAAGCCGGACAGACGCCGCUGGCGAGGCUUCGGGGGUCAGAUCCUGCAGCUUGGACACCACAUUCUCUCUUUUUGCACACAGAUGUGCUACUGUGUAAAAAUAAGCAAACAAACAAAAACGGGAGUUCAGCUUCUUGGAGAAUGUGUCAUGGUCAAGACCAGUGAUUCUGGACGGUGACAAAAGUCCUGGAGGCCUGAGUGCACAGAGGACACACGCACAGAUGCACAUGAACUCAUGGAGAAACACUGGUCUUCUCUGCCAGGGACCAGGCUGGCCAUGCAGGAAGGGAGCAGGAUGUGAAGAUUCAGACUUUAGCUCCAGCUUCACUACCGUCCUGCCGUGCACUUUGGGGGA